CUUUCACACCGGACGAAUGGCGUACAGCUGUGUUGUCGGUCCAUUGGAAACUCUUUUCGGGCCACCGUGGGGAGGGGAAAGCUACAACUGUAAAUGAGUGAGGUUCAUGUGGUUUACUGUUCGUCGUGCACAUGCUCGAAUCCUGAUGCUCUGCAAGUUGUUGCUGUUUUUUUGUUGUUGCUGUUUUUAAGAAAAUGCUCUCAGAUGCCUCACAGGACAGGAUAUUGCCAAGAACCCUGUCACGGUGCCGACACAGAGAAGGGCCUCUCCAAAAACAGAAGGUUGGAGAAAACAGAGCGACCGACAUGGGCAUAACCCCAAACCUCUAACAAGGUGUCCGUGAGGACGGCCUUCAUGGCGAAUUCAUCCCCAUAAUCAACCCAGUGCAGCAGGAUGAAUGUGGAAAAGACGCACUCAUGCAGGAGAGAGCAGGAUAAAGAACCAGUGGGAUACAUGAGACAGCAGCAACAUAUAUUUUUUUUCCUAUAUUUUUUCAUUCACACUCCUACAUCUUUGCUUCUGAAUGUUGCAGUCCAAUUUUUAUAUCUUUUCCCCCUUUCAUCUCACCCAUUUCUUUCAAUUGCUUGUCCCUCACUGUUCCCUCCUCUCGCUUCUCCCAUCAAAUAUUCUGCUCACGCACAACUGCGGCACCCUUUCUCCAGUCCUCCCCAUUAAUCCACACCACAGACAUCUUGGCCCACUGUCUCGUCUCUCUGUCAAUGUGCACUCAAAAGUCUCAAAGUCUGGGCCAUUUCAGCAGAGAGUGCCUGGCCGUUUUUCGCAGGCUAUGAGGCCUACUGUUGAGCAUGCUUUUCUACUGUACAGGGUGUACCGUGCAGACAGGACAUCAAGCACUCCCCCUCUCUAAAUAUGCUAGAAAAUGAAGACGACAUCCCAGUGAAAGCGCAGGUCAUAUCAGGACAGGUGGCA
Molecule: long non-coding RNA, 930 nt
Organism: Astatotilapia calliptera (eastern happy)
Lineage: Eukaryota; Metazoa; Chordata; Actinopteri; Cichliformes; Cichlidae
Source: Ensembl